AGAGUUUGAUCCUGGCUCAGGAUGAACGCUGGCGGCGUGCCUAAUACAUGCAAGUCGAGCGAACAGAUAAGGAGCUUGCUCCUUUGAAGUUAGCGGCGGACGGGUGAGUAACACGUGGGUAACCUACCUAUAAGACUGGGAUAACUUCGGGAAACCGGAGCUAAUACCGGAUAACAUUUAGAACCGCAUGGUUCUAAAGUGAAAGAUGGUUUUGCUAUCACUUAUAGAUGGACCCGCGCCGUAUUAGCUAGUUGGUAAGGUAACGGCUUACC
RNAcentral lists this ribosomal RNA (272 nucleotides) under uncultured bacterium. RNAcentral describes it as "partial 16S ribosomal RNA". It matches the Rfam family "Bacterial small subunit ribosomal RNA", at positions 8 to 269 of the family's 1533-position model. The record is from RNAcentral.